GACGAACGCUUGCGGCGUGCUUAACACAUGCAAGUCGAACGGUAAGGCUCCAGCUUGCUGGGGUACACGAGUGGCGAACGGGUGAGUAACACGUGGGUGACCUGCCCUGCACUUCGGGAUAAGCCUGGGAAACUGGGUCUAAUACCGGAUAGGACCGCACCGUGAGGGUGUGGUGGAAAGUUUUUUCGGUGUGGGAUGGGCCCGCGGCCUAUCAGCUUGUUGGUGGGGUAAUGGCCUACCAAGGUGGCGACGGGUAGCCGGCCUGAGAGGGUGGACGGCCACAUUGGGACUGAGACACGGCCCAGACUCCUACGGGAGGCAGCAGUGGGGAAUAUUGCACAAUGGGCGGAAGCCUGAUGCAGCGACGCCGCGUGGGGGAUGACGGCCUUCGGGUUGUAAACUCCUUUCACCAUCGACGAAGGGUUUCUGACGGUAGAUGGAGAAGAAGCACCGGCUAACUACGUGCCAGCAGCCGCGGUAAUACGUAGGGUGCGAGCGUUGUCCGGAAUUACUGGGCGUAAAGAGCUCGUAGGUGGUUUGUCGCGUCGUCUGUGAAAUUCCGGGGCUUAACUCCGGGCGUGCAGGCGAUACGGGCAUAACUUGAGUACUGUAGGGGAGACUGGAAUUCCUGGUGUAGCGGUGAAAUGCGCAGAUAUCAGGAGGAACACCGGUGGCGAAGGCGGGUCUCUGGGCAGUAACUGACGCUGAGGAGCGAAAGCAUGGGGAGCGAACAGGAUUAGAUACCCUGGUAGUCCAUGCCGUAAACGGUGGGCGCUAGGUGUGGGUUUCCUUCCACGGGAUCCGUGCCGUAGCUAACGCAUUAAGCGCCCCGCCUGGGGAGUACGGCCGCAAGGCUAAAACUCAAAGGAAUUGACGGGGGCCCGCACAAGCGGCGGAGCAUGUGGAUUAAUUCGAUGCAACGCGAAGAACCUUACCUGGGCUUGACAUAUACAGGAUCGCGCCAGAGAUGGUGUUUCCCUUGUGGCUUGUAUACAGGUGGUGCAUGGUUGUCGUCAGCUCGUGUCGUGAGAUGUUGGGUUAAGUCCCGCAACGAGCGCAACCCUUGUCUUAUGUUGCCAGCACGUUGUGGUGGGGACUCGUAAGAAACUGCCGGGGUUAACUCGGAGGAAGGUGGGGAUGACGUCAAAUCAUCAUGCCCCUUAUGUCCAGGGCUUCACACAUGCUACAACGGUCGGUACAGUGGGUUGCCAGUCCGUGAGGGCGAGCUAAUCCCGCAAAGCCGGUCUCAGUUCGGAUCGGGGUCUGCAACUCGACCCCGUGAAGUCGGAGUCGCUAGUAAUCGCAGAUCAGCAACGCUGCGGUGAAUACGUUCCCGGGCCU
Molecule: ribosomal RNA, 1341 nt
Filed under: uncultured bacterium
Lineage: Bacteria
Description: 16S ribosomal RNA
Rfam family: Bacterial small subunit ribosomal RNA
Source: RNAcentral